AACAAGAAGGUGGUAUCUAGUUUUACUAACGAGAGUAAGACUAGUUUAUUAAGCUAUUAUGCCAGCCUAUUUUAUUUAAGUUUGAAUUCCUCUCUCUACAAAUAUCGUCUUGUUAAAUAAAUAAAAUAACAUCUAGUUCUGUAGAUGUGAGUUAACCUAAUUUACCAAAACAAUACGUCGACCUCUUUACAUUCAAGUUUAAAUAUUUUUCUCAUGUAAAUUAGAAUACUGUCUUGUCAAAUCAAAAGGGUGUAGCAUCCCGUUCCCUUGUCUAUAUCAAACUGUUGAUUCAAGCAUACGAAUCUAACAUAGCUGGAAAAAGGAGGUGAGCCAGAAAUAAGCCUCAUUUGGAGAAAUUUUUAGUUGUGACAGAAACACAAGUAAUACAUCAUGUGUUUUUAUAUAAGUGAUGAAAUUUUUUAUUUUUUAAGCUAUUAACUUUUUAACACACAUAUUCCACAAUUUAUAUAACAACAUGUGAUAUACCAUCUCGUAUGAUAGUCAUAUUGAAAAAUCCUUCCUUCAUUUGCAAGGUUUCAUAUCUCAAAAGGCAUAAUGUCAGUUUCCAUCCUGAUAUUAAAUUAUUCUCACACUUUUCCAGAAGCUCCUGUUCCUAUAUCAUCCAACAACUUGCUACUCACUCUAAAGAAAAGGAUGAAAUAUCCACAAAUACCUUUUUAAUUUUCGACCGUCGGAUUGAAUAAAUUGAAAAAGAUCAACGGAUAUAAAUUAUCAAAGAAUGUGUGAGAAGUAAAAUAAGAUGUGUGGAUAGCAUACCCUUAAAGAAAACUAGCCUUCAUGCACGCGUUUACGUGCGUACAUAAUUUAAUUUUUGGAAUUACAAUGUGCUAUAUGCGAAUUUUUGUUGAACGUGUUGUCUAUAUUUAAUCUAAGAACGUAACAUGCAAAUAGCUCGAAGACAAGGAAGUGUUUACAUAAAAGAAAUUGAGACAUUAAAAAAACACCCCAAUAUUGAACAAAAUGGCAUUAACAACCUUUACUAUCUCUCCCGCCAAACCCAGCACUGUAGUAACUAUCACGUAUGCGAUCCAAUAUUUUAGUAGAUAAGAUGUUGAAUUUCGCUGUAAUAGUUUCAAUCAUAUAAUGUUUAUAAAAUCUAUUUUCGUGACAUUUUCGCUUCAUCCUAAGCUUCGUAGUGUUAAUGCAAAAAGAUUUUAGAGAUGUUCUGGCCGACAAAAAUCCAUUCUUCCUAGUUUUAAUUGAUUUUCUGUAUUUCAGCUCAAAAGUUCAACCAAAAUUACUUAUGUGACAAAAUAAAUGGUCAAACCGCUUCCAAAUCACUAUGUGCACGCAGAAGAAUCUACGAAAAAUUAACAGUUACACGUAUACAGUCAGCAUUAAUGCAAGGUUUGUCAUCGUUUUUGUGAAGUUACAGCUUCGAAUUUCCGAGCAAAUGGAAGCUGCUUUCGAUGAAGAAUUAAAGUUCGAUUUCCUUUCCAGCAAGCAUCACAAGGAAACCGUACUCGGAAAGUAUUAGCUACCAGACGUUGAAGAAUAUCAAAUCGGGGUUAAGAUCCUACACAUCGACAAGAUCCAGCGGAACAUUGGAUAGAUACAAAGUGGUGUAUUCGACAAUUGAACUUGAUGAAAUUCGACACUGAUCAGCUUAAACAUUUACCAUGUUAACAAAAUGUACUUAAUCGGACUAGUUUCUAGUGUUUACGAUCUUACCUCCGAACGUUAUUGACCCGAAAGACGGAGGUUGUGGAUCUUCUCUUCAGCUACUCAAUAACACUGGUUAAAGCAGAAGAAAAAACCUUUUGGCUUGUCUUCCAUAUCUCCUAAUUUGGGCGUCUCCCCUGAGCCUUCGCGUGCUGCCAUCAAGGCGCUUGUACCAGGAGACUCUGGUGGCAAGACGGUGUUCUCAGUGAACAUCCGUGAUGGAAUGGCAGGUUCGGGAGGAGAUAUGGUGUAAAGAAAAUCGAGUAGCAUUUGAAUUAUUUGGCUGAAAUUAGGCCGAGCAUUCGGGUCCUCCUGCCAGCAUGAAGUUAGGAUGAUGUUCAACUCCUCAGGGAUGUUCUCAGAACUAGGCCUCACAUUCUGAAAUGUUAAGUAUCCAUUAAAUCAUCAGUAAAACUUAGCAGCACCAUAAGCCAUUUGCAGAAUUAAUGGUUGGGAUCGGAAAUAAUGUAUCGAUGAGGAAGAUAUGUUUACUUUAAAUGCAGCUGCAUAUGCUGCCUGGAGAUUUGACAUGCCUUCGAAAGGCAAUUUGUUGUGUAAGAGUUCCCACAAAACAAUUGCGAAGCUAUAUGCGUCCACUUUGUGGUUGUAAUGCUUUCCCUCUCCUUGCCUUAAUGUAACAGUACUGUACAACUGCCAAAAAAUAGGAAAUAUCAACUCAAUAAAGAGGUAUUUUUAAGCGUCAACGGUUCAUAAGAGUGUGGGGGAAGAAGGGUAGUACCUCCGGAGCCAUCCAACGGUAUGUCCCCGUUUCUGCAGUCAUCAUCUCUGUUAAUGACUCUUCUCUUGCCAACCCAAAAUCCGCUAAUUUAACUGUUUUGUGGUCUGCAGUCAAGAGCAAGUUCUCUGCACCCAAAAGUUAAAAAAAAGAUCAAAUAAGUAAGAAUAUGAGCUAAAAGACAAGUAAUUUUUCAAAACCCAACAAAUAAUUCACCCAUCCACAUCAAUGUAUUGAAUCAUACAAUGCAGAUCCGUUGUUAGAUACGUAAAAACAAGGGAAAUCCACGAGUAGAAGUUUUUAUUAAAAAAUGGAACUGGAGAGGACUAAACCGACUAUAAGCGGUGUAUAACCCUCAGUUUGGAGCCCCUCGGGUUCUGUUUUUGAAUAAAAUCUUCUACUCCUUCUUGAAGCGCCAUCUUACUAAAAUUAGUCUGAAGUCGAAUUUGGGAACUUAAACGUAUGACUAUCUACUCUUUUUAAUAUAACAGUACAGUUCAGAAUAAUAAUUCCAGCCUGACGGUAUGGCAGUGAUGAAAUCUAUCAUCGUAAUGCAAACACGGAAAAUAUUUAUUAAAAAUUUAAUACCAAAAGAAAGUUGUGUGAAUGAGAGUUAUUGCAGCCAAAAAAGUCAGAAAAUAUUGACUACAGAAAAAAAUACGACAAUCCAGUUCUGAAACAGUCUAUGAAUUUAAACCGUCUUAAACUUAAACUUAUAGAAUUCAAAGCAGUUGAAAUGGGAUAGGAAAAGUUACCAGGCUUCAAAUCACGGUGUAUGAUCCCAUGAGAGUGCAAGCACUCCAUCGCACGAGCAAUAUCCAAUGCGAAACCAACAGCAACGCGUAUGUCCAAGCACCUCGGCCGCAUGUUUAGACAAUAUUUGCGCAAUGUACCUCCCAACAAAAGCUCAGUAACUAUCACCAUCACUGGCUCCUUGCAGGCACCAAUAAACUGUUGAGAGGCAGGGUACCUUCAUUAAUUAUCAGAUGUCGACACAUAACAAUUUGAUGUUCAUGACUACACAAUGUAACUAUCGUCACCCGUUACCACAAUGACUUAUCACCGAAAUGGCGGCAAUUAAAUCGAACCUUCACUAAAUUUUUAUGUUGAACUCUCGACAACAUGGCAACCUCUCUGGCAAACCGUCCUUCUUUCUUGAUAAUCUCCUCUGGAGUUUCUCCUCUAUGAACAACUUUGAUUGCAACAGUCUGGUUUUUGUAUCUGAUUGGAAUCCAAAAGGCCGAAAUCAAAAGGAGUGAGAUAACUGCAGCAUAACAGAACUCAAAAUUGAACCAUAAUUACUUGCAAGCUGCCAAUCUAAUCGCUUAAGAAACUCAUUUUUCGCCCUCAAACCAAAUUCAUCAGUUAUCUUCUACCGAACUACAAUUCACCGAAAACCUAACCAUUUUCGGGAUCCUACCAAAAUUUGAAUCUAACCACUAAACCAGAUUAAAUUUUCAGCAAAACCCAAAAUGCAGUUCAGAAUGCAAAGCAACAACAACAACAACAAAGCCUUUUCCCACUAAGUGGGGUCGGCUAUAUGAAUCCUAGAACGCCAUUGCGCUCGGUUUUGUGUCAUGUCCUCCGUUAGAUCCAAGUACUCUAAGCCUUUUCUUAGAGUCUCUUCCAAAGUUUUCCUAGGACUUCCUCUACCCCUUCGGCCCUGAACCUCUGUCCCGUAGUCACAUCUUCGAACCGGAGCGUCAGUCGGCCUUCUUUGCACAUGUCCAAAUCACCGGAACCGAUUCUCUCAUCUUUCCUUCAAUUUCGGCUACUCCUACUUUACCUCGGAUAUCCUCAUUCUCAAUCUUAUCCUUUCUCGUGUGCCCACACAUCCCACGAAGCAUCCUCAUCUCUGCUACACCCAUUUUGUGUACGUGUUGAUGUUUCACCGCCCGACAUUCUGUGCCAUACAACAUCGCUGGCCUUAUUGCCGUCUUAUAAAAUUUUCCCUUGAGCUUCAGUGGCCUACGACGGUCACACAAACAUGCUGGAUGCACUCUUACACUUCAUCCAUCAAGCUCGUAUUCUAUGGUUGAGAUCUCCAUCUAAUUCUCCGUUCUCUUGUAAGAUAGAUCCUAGGUAGCGAAAACGGUCGCUUUUUUGUGAUCUUCGCUAAAUUGCUCCGGUCAUUAGUGUGGAUAAGUAUAUAAAUGGAUAGAGAUAGGAAAGCAAACACAAGAUGUACGUGGUUCACCCAGAUUGGCUACGUCCACGGAAUAGAAGAGUUCUCAUUAAUUGUGAAGGGUUUACACAAGUACAUAGGUUCAAGCUCUCCUUUAGUGAGUACAAGUGAAUGAUUUAGUACAAAUGACAUUAGAGUACAAAUGACAUUAGGAAAUAUUGUGGGAGAAUGAUCUCGUAAUCACGAAACUUCUAAGUAUCGGAGUGUGGUAUCGACUUGCCUUAUCUGUCUCAUAGGUAGAUGUGGCAGCUUCUCUGGAAGUACUCUUCCUCCAUCCAGGGGUGGUAUCUUUAACUGGUGGAGAUGCACAAGGUAAUGUAUCAAUUUCACUUGAAGCUUACUUGUAGUUUCAGGCUUGGUCAAGCGCGAUACAAACCAUGUAGUAGGAGUCCCCCAAGUCGCCGAGCUAGGGGAUUUUGCUGAAAGAGGUGACAGACAAGGUAAGCAAUCAGAGCUCCGGCUGAUUGUUCACCUUCUCCCCAUCUUGCAGCAGCAUGAAGGAUAAAGAGAAGAAAAAAUGAGAAGAGAUGAUAUGGGAUACUUUUGCUUUUGAAGAAGAAGUAACUUUCCACAGGCUUAUUCUUGAACUGAGCUGGAGGGUUUUCUGGUUUCCUCCAGAGUAUAAGGCCGACUGAAGAAUUUGAGGGUCAAAACAAGUCCAUCAAAUCUAGAGUACGUUCGACCCUGCUGAUAUGGGAUACUUUUGCUUUUGACAGAGUAAUGGAUGGAUCGGCACGUGUGCUGUUACGCUUGUCUCCACAUGCUUCCUUGUAUCCUUCGCACUUGCCCUAUCUGUUCCUCAAGCAGAUACGGUAUCUUCCCUGGCAACAUAAGAUGUUGAAGAUGAGUACUCGAGAGCAAUGCCAGGUAAGUAAUCAGGUAAGGGGUUCCAGGCUGUCAGUUCCUGGCUGGGAGCUUGAUUUCAAGUGCUGACUGAUUGCUCUCUUUCUCCUUGUCUUGCAGGUAAAAAACAAGGCCAAAGGAAAAGACAGGGAAAAAAGCAUGAUAUGGGAUACUCUUGCUUUUAACCCUGAUGAUAUGAGAUAUUCUUGCUCUAGUAUAGCUUGUUUGCAGAGGUAUUAUCGGGGGGAAAGAAAGCUGAAUAUUUUCGAAAGGCUUCGUUGGGAGUGCCCUCUCAGAUAUGAGGAAGGGUUGAGCAUUUUUGCAGGUCUGCCUGUCCGUUGGGGAUGGAGGUCGACAUAUAUAGGAGUCUCCCUAACAACAAGUAGUAAUGCUAUUCCUUUACCCUGCUUGGUCAUAGCACGGUAGUGGGAGCUGCCAGCUUCACAUGUUUUAACUCUGUCAGAGCACUUUGAAAAAGUGGUAUGUGGUAUCUGGCUCUCGAGAUUCGGAGAACGAUGCUUCUUCGAUUUUUGAGAAAGCAAUCAUGUGGGGGUCUGGCUCUCGAGAUUCGGGGAGCAGUGUCUCUUCGAUUUUUGAGAAAGUAAUCAUGUUGGGAGUCUGGCUCUCGAGAUUCGGAAGGCGGUGCCUCUUCGAUUUUGGAGUAAGCAAUCUUGUUGGGAGUGUGUUUUCUCGGAUGUGAGUAAAGGUUGGGCAUGUUUGCUAGUCUACCUUGCCACGAAGCACGGAGGUUGACACACAGGGACUUUCCAAUUAUCCAGCAGUGGUACUGUUCCUUUACCCUUGUGGGUAAUAAUAUGGUAGCUAGACCUUCAAAAUUUAUGUGUGUCUAAACUUUGUUAGUGCUGUUUCUUUGCUAUUCUUUUACCUUUCUUGGUCAGAGCGAUGUAGUGGGAGCUGCAAGCUUCACGUGCUCAACUUUGGCAGAGACUUUGACAAAGUUAUCUGUGGUACCCAUGAGCUAUUGUUGCGUGUGGGAAGUGGGUGAUUGAACAGUAAGAUUCAUGUGCUUUCUACUUCACCAGAAGUCUUCGACAGAAUGCCCAUAAUUUCCGCAAAGCUGAGUGUGCGUGUGACAGGUGCUGACAAGGCUAGAAAAGAAGGUGCCUCUUUGAUUUCUGAGAUCGGCCCUCGUGGUCUCUGAGCAGCCCAGCUUUUGAGAAAGCGAGCGCCUCUUCGAUUGAUUCGGAGAACGAUGCCUCUUCGAUUUUUGAGAAAGCAAUCAUGCUGGGGGUCUGGCUCUCGAGAUUCGGGGAGCAGUGUCUCUUCGAUUUUUGAAAAAGUAAUCAUGUUGGGAGUCUGGCUCUCGAGAUUCGGAGGGUGGUGCCUCUUCGAUUUUGGAGCAAGCAAUCUUGUUGGGAGUGUUUUCUCAAAUGUGAGUAAAGGUUGGGCAUGUUUGCUAGUCUACCUUGCCACGAAGCACAGAGGUUGACACACAAGGACUUUCCAAUUAUCCAGCAAUGGUACUGUUCCUUUACCCUCUCUUCGAUUUUUGAGAAAGUAGUCAUGUUGGGAGUCUGGCUCUCGAGAUUCGGAGGACGGUGCCUCUUCGAUUUUGGAGCAAGCAAUCUUAUUGGGAGUGUUUUCUCGAAUGUGAGUAAAGGUUGGGCAUGUUUGCUAGUCUACCUUGCCACGAGGCACAGAGGUUGACACACAGGGACUUUCCAAUUAUCCAACAGUGGUACUGUUCCUUUUACCCUUGUGGGUAAUAAUAUGGUAGCUAGACCUUCAAAAUUUUAUGGGUCUAAACUUUGUUAGUGCUGUUUCUUUGCUAUUCUUUUACCCUUCUUGGUCAGAGCGAUGUAGUGGGAGCUGCAAGCUUCACGUGCUCAACUUUGGCAGAGAACUUUGGCAAAGUUAUCUGUGGUACCCAUGAGCUAUUGCUGCGUGUGGGAAGUGGGUGAUUGGACAGUAAGAUUCAUGUGUUUUCUACUUCCCCAGAAGUCUUCGACAGAAUACCCAUAAUUUCCGCAAAGCUGAGUGUACGUGUGACAGGUGCUGACAAGGCUGGAAAAGUAGGUGCCUCUUCGAUUUCUGAGAUCGGCCCUCGUGGUCUCUGAGGAGCCCAGCUUUUUGAGGAAGCGAGCGCCUCUUCGAUUUCUGAGAUCGGCUUUCGUGGUCUUUGAGCAGCCCAACUUUUGAGAAAGCAAACACCUCUUCGAUUUAUGAGAUCAACCCUCGUGGUCUCUAAGCAGCCCAGCUUUUGAGAAAGCAAACGCCUCUUCGAUUUUCUGAGCAGGCGCCUCUUCGAUGUCUGAAGCUCCGUCGAGUGCAGCUUUUUAUAGGGGCUGGCAUUAAGUUCCAAAGCACACUUGAAUCUCCACCAGUAGAAGCUCCAUUCUUGCACUUCUAAGAUCUUGAUUUGUCCGACCUCUUCUCUCUUCAAUACCUUUGAAAAUGUCUGGCCCCUCCGACCGUCGUUUUGACUUGAACCUUGUUGAAGAGGCAGCCCCGCCUUCUCCAGACAACAUAUGGCGCCCAUCCUUCGUCUCCCCUACUGGUCCUCUUACCGUUGGGGAUUCCGUGAUGAAGAAUGAUAUGACCGCUGCGGUAGUGGCCAGGAACCUUCUCACUCCCAAAGAUAACAGACUACUUUCCAAACGGUCUGAUGAGUUGGCUGUUAAGGAUUCUCUGGCUCUCAGUGUUCAGUGUGCAGGUUCUGUGUCUAAUAUGGCCCAACGCCUAUUUGCUCGAACCCGCCAAGUUGAGUCAUUGGCGGCCGAAGUGAUGAGUCUCAAACAGGAGAUUAGAGGGCUCAAGCAUGAGAAUAAACAGUUGCACCGACUCGCACAUGACUAUGCUACAAACAUGAAGAGGAAGCUUGACCAGAUGAAGGAAACUGAUGGUCAGGUUUUACUUGAUCAUCAGAGAUUUGUGGGUUUGUUCCAAAGGCAUUUAUUGCCUUCGUCUUCUGGGGCUGUACCGCGUAAUGAAGCUCCAAAUGAUCAACCUCUGAUGCCUCCUCCUUCUAGGGUUCUGUCCAGUACUGAGGCUCCGAAUGAUCCCCUCCGAUGCCUUCUCUUUCUAGGGCUCUACCAACUGCUGAGACUUCUCCUAAGCAACCUUUGUGAAGGCUCCAUCUUGUUUUGUUUAUUUUGACUCAUGUAUAUGUACAUAUUUGUAGCUUAUCGGGGAUAUCAAUAAAUAAGUUUUCCUUCAUUUCAACGUAUUGUGUUAAAUACACCAAAGCCUUCUUCGCUAAGUUCUUUGAAUUUUCUUUUGUUGAAGCUUGUAUGUUGAAGCUUUCUGAGUGGAGCAUGUAGGUUGGGGUAGUGUUCCCUUAAAUUUUUCGAGUGAGGAAAACUUCUCGGUUGGAGACUUGGAAAAUCCAAGUCACUGAGUGGGAUCGGCUAUAUGAAUCUUAGAACGCCAUUGUGCUCGGUCCUGUGUCAUGUCCUUCGUUAGAUCCAAGUACUCUAAGUCUUUUCUUAGAGUCUCUUCCAAAGUUUUCCUAGGUCUUCCUCUACCCCUUCGGCCCUGAACCUCUGUCCCAUAGUCGCAUCUUCUAAUCGGAGCGUCAGUAGGCCUUCUUUGCACAUGUCCAAACCACCGUAACCGAUUUUCUCUCAUCUUUCCUUCAAUUUCGGCUACUCCUACUUUACCCCGGAUAUCCUCAUUCCUAAUCUUAUCCUUUCUCGUGUGCCCACACAUCCAACGAAGCAUCCUCAUCUCCGCUACACCCAUUUUGUGUACGUGUUGAUGCUUCACCGCCCAACAUUCUGUGCCAUACAGCAUCGCCGGCCUUAUUGCCGUCCUAUAGAAUUUUCCUUUGAGCUUCAGUGGCAUACGGCGGUCACACAACACGCCAGAUGCACUCUUCCACUUCAUCCAUCGAGCUUGUAUUCUAUGGUUGAGAUCUCCAUCUAAUUUCUCCGUUCUUUUGCAAGAUAGAUCCUAGGUAACGAAAACGGUCGCUCUUUGGUAUUUCUUGAUCUCCGAUCCUCACCCCUAACUCGUUUUGGCCUCCAUCUGCACUGAACUUGCACUCCAUAUAUUCUGUCUUUGAUCGGCUUAGGCGAAGACCUUUAGAUUCCAACACUUCUCUCCAAAGGUUAAGCUUUGCAUUUACCCCUUCCUGAGUUUCAUCUAUCAACACUAUAUCGUCUGCGAAAAGCAUACACCAAGGAAUAUCAUCUUGAAUAUGUCCUGUUAACUCAUCCAUUACCAACGCAAAAAGGUAAGGACUUAAGGAUGAGCCUUGAUGUAAUCCUACAGUUAUGGGAAAGCUUUCGGGUUUGUCCUUCAUGAGUUCUUACGGCAGUCUUUGCUCCUUCAUACAUAUCCUUUAUAGCUUGGAUAUAUGCUACUCGUACUCCUUUCUUCUCUAAAAUCCUCCAAAGAAUGUCUCUUGGGACCCUAUCAUACGCUUUUUCCAAAUCUAUAAAGACCAUGUGUAAAUCCUUUUUCCCAUCUCUAUAUCUUUCCAUCAAUCUUCGUAAGAGAUAGAUUGCCUCCAUGGUUGAGCGCCCUGGCAUGAACCCGAAUUGGUUGUCCGAAACCCGUGUCUCUUGCCUCAAUCUAUGCUCAAUGACUCUCUCUCCCAGAGCUUCAUUGUAUGACUCAUUAACUUAAUACCCCUAUAGUUCAUGCAAUUUUGUACGUCGCCCUUAUUCUUGUAGAUAGGCACCAAAGUGCUCGUUCGCCACUCAUUUGGCAUCUUCUUCGUUUUCAAAAUCCUAUUGAAAAGGUCAGUGAGCCAUGUUAUACCUGUCUCUCCCCAAAACUUUCCACACUUCGAUUGGUAUAUCGUCUGGGCCUAUUGCUUUUCUAUGCUUCAUCUUCUUCAAAGCUACAACCACUUCUUCCUUCCGGAUUCGACGAUAAAAAGAGUAGUUUCUACACUCUUCUGAGUUACUCAACUCCCCUAAAGAAGCACUCCUUUCAUGUCCUUCAUUGAAAAGAUUAUGAAAAUAACCUCUCCAUCUGUCUUUAACCGCGUUCUCUGUAGCAAGAACCUUUCCAUCCUCAUCCUUGAUGCACCUCACUUGGUUUAGGUCCCUUGUCUUCUUUUCCCUUACUCUAGCUAGUUUAUAGAUAUCCAACUCUCCUUCUUUGGUAUCUAGUCGUUUAUACAUAUCGUCGUAAGCCGCUAACUUAGCUUCUCUGACCGCUUUCUUCGCCUCUUGCUUCGCUUUUCUAUACCUUUCACCAUUUUCAUCGGUCCUCUCCUUGUAUAAGGCUUUACAACAUUCCUUCUUAGCCUUCACCUUUGUUUGUACCUCCUCAUUCCACCACCAAGAUUCCUUUUGGUGUGGGGCAAAGCCCUUGGACUCUCCUAAUACCUCUUUUGCUACUUUUCGGAUACAACUAGCCAUGGAAUCCCACAUUUGGCUAGCUUCCCCCUCUCUAUCCCACACACAUUGGGUGAUUACCUUCUCUUUGAAAAUGGCUUGUUUUUCUUCUUUUAGAUUCCACCAUCUAGUCCUUGGGCACUUCCAAGUCUUGUUCUUUUGUCUCCCUCUUUUGAUAUGUACAUCCAUCACCAACAAGCGAUGUUGAUUAGCCACGCUCUCUCCUGGUAUAACUUUUGCAAUCCUUACAAGUUAUACGAUCCCCUUUCCUCAUUAGAAGAAAAUCUAUUUGUGUUUUUUGACGACCCACUCUUGUAGGUGAUCACAUGUUCUUCUCUCUUCUUAAAGAAGGUGUUGGCUAAGAAGAGAUCAUAUGCCAUUGCAAAAUCCAAGAUAGCUUCCCCAUCCUCGUUUCUCUCCCCAAAACCAUGGCCACCAUGAAAACCUCCAUAGUUGCCUGUCUCCCUGCCCACGUGUCCAUUUAGAUCUCCUCCUAUAAAUAACUUCUCCGUCUGAGCAAUUCCUUGCACCAAGUCUCCAAGGUCUUCCCAAAAUUUCUCCUUCGAACUCGUAUCCAACCCUACUUGAGGUGCGUACGCACUAAUCACAUUGAUAAGUUCUUGUCCUAUUACAAUCUUGAUUGCCAUGAUUCUAUCUCCUACCCUCUUGACAUCUACAACAUCUUGUGUCAAGGUCUUGUCCACGAUGAUGCCAACACCGUUUCUCGUUCUAUUUGUGCCCGAAUACCAAAGUUUAAACCCUGAGUUUUCUAGAUCCUUUGCCUUACUACCAACCCACUUAGUUUCUUGUAGGCACAUAAUAUUUAUCCUUCUCCUCACCAUAACUUCCACUACUUUCCAUAGAUUUUCCCGUUAAGGUUCCUAUAUUCCACGUUCCUAAACGCAUUUUGCUCUCUUGAACUCUACCCUUCUGUCCUAGCUUCUUCACCCUCCCCCGUCUAAUAGGAUCAAAGUACUUCUUUUGUGUGUCCCGUGUAAAGUUGAUAGGAGCAUAUGCUCCCAAACAACUUUGAGUGGAGUCGUUCGAAAAGAAGUUUCUACGGCCCCCUUGCUCAUUUAACACUGCAUCCGGGUGCCGAUGGAGAUACAGCGACCCUUGCUCACUUAUCACUGUGCUCGGGCCACACAGCGCGCCACUUACGGGUGACGCCCUAGCUUUAGCGCGAUUUUGUUCUGGAUUCAUUUUCAUAAGGAUUCGACGUGAUCAUGGAGUGCCGGCUGUCGACUACCUGACGCCCUCCCCCUCCUCCUUUAUCCGGGCUUGGGACCGGCAAUGUAAAAUUACAUAGGCAGAGUUAGAAUGCAAAGCAAGAAAGGAUAAAAUGUAUUGCUAAUCGCCACAAGAACGCAAUCGUAGUUUAUCUAAUCCAAACAAGAUGAACCGCAGAAACAUCAUUAGCCACAAAUCUAAACAACAUUACUCUCAAAUGAAACGAAAAUGCGAACCGCAGAAACGUCAUUAGCCACAAAUCAAGACACAAGGUUUCCACUUAUGCAGACCAAACUAUUCAUGGGUACAAAUCGAAAACUCAAAAAAUUGAAAGCAAAGCGAAGCUGUACAACUUACUUGCCCUCAUAGACUUUGGCAUGAGCUCCCUCACCAAUUCUUGGCCCAACAAACAGAUGCUUGGGAUCAAUCAGCCAUUUGGCAUCCAAUCUGAACUCAUCAGCUGAGUAAAACCUACUCCCAGAUUCCAUCUUUCUACACAACCAAACAAUCCAGCAUCAAAACCCAAAAUCCAUAUAACAUAAUAUCAGAAACCCAAAAGCCAAAAAGCACUUGUUGAGAAGCUAACUCAUUCAUUGAUUCUCUGUGAGUGGAUAAGCUGACACAAAAGAGAUAAGCAGCAUCCCAAAGCUCAAAAAACUCACAGGAAGGAGGAGAUGGUACUUACAUGUCCUUGGAGAAGGCAAAAGCAUGGAACCCCACAUGUUCUAACAGAGAGCAGACUCUGACAGCAAAAGCCCCAAAACAAAAGCUCAAUGCCCAAAGUGCUUUUUUUUUUGCUUGGCAAGUUUUUAUGGGGAAAUGAGAAGAAAAAAUCCCUCAGAAAGGCAAGACCAUAAGGUCCAGAAGCAGAUUAGCAAAAGCACCUCCCCAAGUGAAAACUAGAGUACUGCAUACGUAUGCUAGUUUGAUUAAAACUCCAUAGUCCCCAUCAUUGAGGGUAAUUAAAUGGGGUGCGAUGAGAUUUGUGGGAUUAAUUAACCUCUGAUGGAAACAGUGGUUUCAGUCUUGAUCUGCAGCUGGAGUCAUGGGAAGGGAGAGAGCCUAAAGAUCAAGUUUUUAAGAAUUUGGUGUGUGUGUGUGUGUGUGUGUGUGAGGAGAGAGAUGAGAGAGAAGGGAGUGUUGAAUAUAUUGUAGUUAAGUGGGUGGGAGUCAUAAACUAAUCUAGAGCACAUGGAAACUGAUCUUGUCAACAUGGAGGGUAAACUGGUAAAGCUACUCAAACAACAUGAGUACUUUCUAGUUCCUUCCUAUCUUUUACUUGUACUUCACUUCAAUCAUAGCUAAUCAUUUAAUUUCUGGUUUUAACAGUCUCCACUUCAAACUGAACGACCGAAUAUUUUACGACUUUUACUUAAAAAAUAAGUGUUAUAUACGUACUUCUAGAUAAGUAAUAAAGAUCGAUUCGUUAUAUGUAAGGAGUCGAACAACAUUACUUGAAAGAAAAAGAUGUGGCAAGAAAUGCAAGGGUGUGGAGGCAGUUAAAAAGGCGAGAGGCAAACGGUGGGAAAGGAGAUGAGAUAUGUUGGUAAACGAGCAAUCCAUGCAGCAAAAAAUCUUAUCCUUUCCCUCCAAAUCACUUGCAACGUUCGAGUCGUGGACUAAAAAAAGGAUAUACAGGAUAAGUCGCUUCGACCGUCCAAUUUGCCGUGCAAAUUUGGCAACUCCAGUUACUCCACCUUUUUUCCAAAGGCACGAGACCGGACAAACGGGUUAUUUUUGUUGUUUAUAUGUCAUUCAUAUUAUCUUAACAAAUCUAUGUCCUGUUAAACUAGUUACUUAAACAGAUUUUUAAACUAAAUGACCCGUUAAUGAUCCAACUUGUGAAUAGGUUGUGCUAUUUCGUGUCAGAUUAAUAAGUCACGCAAAAGAAUUUUAUAAUUCACUAUCUAGACCUGCAAAUCGAUUGUGUUCGUGUUAUUUACGUAUCAUACUUGUUACCUUAACAAGUUCUUAACAAAUAGCUCAAUUAGAACCUAAUUCGUUAACGGAUGACCAACAACUACCCAACUCGUUAACAGACAGACUCGAAACUUGUUAUUUUCGUGUUAUUUCAUGCCAAAUUAACAAAUUACACAAAAAAAUUGCCGUACCUAUCUUACAUGCAACCAUAAUGCUAAAACACCUAUAUCUCAAGCGUAUCACACACCAGAGCAAUUAAUUAAGAUACUAUCAUCUUAACGUCCCAGUUGCAUAUAACAGAAGUAUAAAUAAAGUGGUGGGACAUUAAAUAACAUAGAAAUCAAUAAAGACUAAAUGGCCACAUGAAUACAUAACGUAGAAUAUAAUAUUAAAUCCAAAACUUAGAUAUCAGUACCAAUUUACUAAAACAUAAUUACAUACUAAGAAAAAGAUGCACAUGGACAUGGUCCCCAAAAGCAAGCAAAGCAUCAGAUUGCAUAUCGAAAAAUGCCAGUCCAUUAUUUCUGAGAUAAUAUAUAUAUAUAUAUAUAUAUAUAUAUAUAUAUACUAGGAAUAUAUAAUAACAUGAUUUAUUAGUAGUUGUCUUCCAUCUAAAGCUGCUCCCCGUUGAUCAGAUCCAUAACCACACGCUUGAUGCUUCCAUUGUUCUUCACCAGCAGCUUCUUGUUCAUUUCGGUAUCACAGAAACCCUGCACACAGCGAUCGUACUCAGGAUACACCGAAAAUUUGGAGAGGGAACUAUCCGUCAAGAUUUUGUUACAGUCGGGUUGUACAAACUUACCAUUUCCUGCAGCUCUUCAAGGAUGGGAUCCCAGUCAGAAACCUCGCAGAGAUCAUCGACAGACUGCUCCAUGUUGUAGUCAUUCAAACGCAGAAUCUCCUUGUUCAAAUUGACCUGCUUAAAUCCCAUCGCCUCGAGCUCCUUCAGCAUGGUGUCUUCCACGGCAUUGUUUGAACUGGUCCCUUCAGAUGAUGCUGGUGCAUUGACAACAAGUGAAAAUUUGGGGGAGGGCGGAGAUGGUUCAAAGAUAUCGACAGUGGGAUACAACACGGUUGAAGAACCCUGUGGCUUAACAGUGGGAUACAACACAGCUGAAGAACCUUGUGGCUCAACAGUGGGGUACAUCACAGUUGAAGAACCCUGUGGCUCAGUAGGGGCAGAAGCGCUGUGGCCAACCAGCAAGCUAUCAUUGAUGGGGAAGUGGAGCUCCUGGUCAUGUCCAGGCUGCUCAGUAGGCAUGGGCUUCACCGGUUCCUUAAGUGGGCUAGAACCAGAAGGCUGGAGAAAGUCACUGCCAGCAGCUGGUUGAAGGUUCACAUCUAUUUUUUCAGAUUCUUUUGGGGGCAGAUUCAAGUUCAGACCCUGAAAACUCUCAAAGAAUGAAUCCUUCAAGGAUGUAUCAACCUGCACAAGGGAAUAAAGGAUCAGAAGAGUUGUCUAGUUACGGGCAUUAGGUAUAAAGUUGUUCCGGAAACAUCCGCCUGUAUGCAUAAUAAAAGUAGAGGUCAUCAAAAGAACACAAUUAAUAAUAUGGAAGAUACCUGAAUCAGGACCCAAACACGUUGCCCAAACUUUUGGCCAGAUGAGGUUGCCAUCCGCCAGUAUGAGAUGUAGCGACCAGGUGACUCGGGUGCAGUAAAAUCAACGGCAAUGUCAAUUUCAUUUUCAGCCGGCACACCAUCCGCAGGAAUCUAUAACGAACCAUGAAAUUAAAAAAUGACAACAAAAAAUCUCUGAAAUAAAAGAACUAAAACAAAAAUGAAUAGAAGUGCCAACUAAAACCCAGGAAAUAUGGAAAGACAACAAAAAAGUAAAUAUUAAAUGCUACUUGAACAAUUCCAGAACAAUGUCAAAGUAUGCCACCUCUAUUUCAACUGAAUCUGAAUUGCUAAAUCUGUCGCCCCCAAUCCACACAAGUGUUGUUCCUUGAGGCCACACCAUACCACCGUUGUUGCGCAUCCGCCAUAUUUUGGUAAAUGGAGUAGAUGGGGCUAUAAAGGUACCAUCCAUUACAUUGACAUCCAAUACAAAGCGGCUAUCAAGCUUAGGGCGGCCUUGCUUCAUACUACCUCUCAAUAUUUUUGGCAUAACUGGGGGACCUACCCAUGGAGGCUGUCAUUAAGAAUGAAAAAGAAAGGUCAAAUUCGUAACAAAAAUAAAAUAUGGUAUCUAUGGGGAAGAAAAAGUAUUAGAGGGAUCUACACACUUGCUCAUACAACCCCUUGAAGGGCCGUGGAUGACGAUGAGAGAUAGGGUGGUCAAUCCUAAUGUAAUCAGUUGCACUACCCUUACUGGCAAAACAGAUCCGGCAGAGGUCAUAAUCCUCUUUCCUGCAGAAAAGAAACAGAAAGUAACGUCAAUAAUCUGAGUUCAACAACGUUUCACUACCAACUUAGCAUCACAUAUUUGAUAAGUUCCAUUCUUACACUAUUGACUUGAAUCGAGGUCCAACAAUUGGAUGACAACCACAGCCAUCACAGCGAACACCUGUAUGGAACAUACCACCCAUCGCUUCGGAGUGAUUUCUUUUGAAAGGAAUGCGCCGACAGGCAGCAGGAGUAGCUGAGUCAUUAGCAAUGGGAGUCCCUGUAAAUGGACAUUCGUUGAAACGAGUACUAAUCAUAUCAUGAAUAUUGCUUGCAGCACGAGCUGAACUUGCGGACGGACCACAACCAAAAGGCUUCUUGCUGUGAAGUUUCUUUUGAAUAUUGAGACGACCAUUGGGAAGCUGCUUAGACUCCUUCCUUGCAUCACUGGUAUGAAGACUUGAUCCAGCUGGUGAAUCAUUAAUGGGCAUGGGUCCUGAUAGAUUAGAAUCUGUAGGAAGGAAAUUGAGAUCAAGAGUUGCAUAAAGAGGUGGAGCAGACAUCCCCACAUCCUUGGUCACAUUCACAGAGUCUGUCGCCUGACCUUUUUUGGUGCUUGAUUCCUCAGCUGCAGAGAUGGGUUCUGACCUGCCAUCACCCUUCAGAUCAUUUGACUUAGAAGCAGCUGGGGGAUCCACGGGACUCUUAGAGGCGCCGUUUUGCUUGCCCGAAUCUCCAGCGGUCUGAACCUGGGCAUCUGGAAUCAAGUACGACAGGCCCAUCUUCGAAAAGCAGUCAACAAGCUCCGCAAACACUGGACUGGAUGAUGCAACUUUUGAAGCCAAAUCAAGAGGAAACUUUGAAGCGAAUUCCCGAAGUGGCUCUGGCAGGGACUUCAAAACUUCGGCAACAUCAGCAUUAAAAUCUGGUAUUGGAGUUUGACCUUGAGGGGACCUCAGAGGAGUAGAACUUCCACUUGACUUAGCAGAUUUGUCCUUGUUAAUCUGUACAUAUAUCUUCAAGAAUUUGAGCUUCUGCCUCAUCGUGUCAUGCAGAUCACCAUCAUCAACAAGAGUUACUACAUCACCAUCUUCAUCAACGUACGCCAAAGUGAUGUCAGCAUCAGAGUGGAGAUUGAAAAGACUCAAGAUCUUUUCUCGCAAUCCACUCAUGUCAAGAUCCAGUUGAUUGUUCUCAUUGACACUAGCAUUGAAACGCCUCAGUGUUUCCGCAUAUUGAACCUUUAGAACAACCAGUUACAUAUUAGUACAUACGAAAGUAACCAAAUAAACCUUUUCAAAAUCCAAGAAUUCAAUAAAAAUGUUAAACACUUGCAAAUGACAAAAUCAAAUUGGAGUCUGAAAACAGCACGCAAAAUUUGCCAAAAUUCAACCGACCCAUGAACAAACUAAUCAGGGUUACCUAGAUUAACCACGUUACUUCUCCGAUCAUCCAAAUAAAUCAACAAUCUUUCCGAGAAAAUAACAUUCAAUCAAAUAAACAUGCCAGGCAUCAAAACUCAAAAUUCAAAAAAUUAUCAUCACAUAAACCCUCUUCAAUUACAAAAAAAAAAAAAAAAAAACCGACAUAAAUUCAUCAAUCAAGAACCCCAUUUCAUCCCACAGCUCAGUUGCAUGUCAAAUUUCCAAACCUCUUUCCCUUAUCCCAAAUUUUUCCCGUCAACCAAACAGAGAAUAACCAAAAACCCAUAUCAAAUUCGGAAACGAAAGUUCGAAAAGAUCGCACCUUGAUAACCUUGGUCGACGCCAUAGCUGCAGAAACAACCAGUGUGCUCCAAAUCCGAGAACUAGAAGUAAAACCCUAACCCUAA
RNAcentral lists this long non-coding RNA (18065 nucleotides) under Malus domestica (apple). RNAcentral's name for it is "long non-coding RNA (MDOM_LNC006290)". The record is from RNAcentral. Lineage: Eukaryota; Viridiplantae; Streptophyta; Magnoliopsida; Rosales; Rosaceae.